CCCUCUCUCCCCUCCCCGAGACUCCACCAAUCCGGUGAGGCGCCUCCGAGCCCUGGCGGCGCUGGAGGUAAAGUUCAAAAGUCUAAAGCCAAUGAACAAUUCUUCAACCCAGACCCUCUCGAAUAAUCAAUGUGAGGAUUUUCAUAAAUGAGAAGCUGCAUUCGUCGACAUAUAACAAGGAAGACAAUUCUCUACUAACCGUGGUUUUGACUGGCACG
Molecule: long non-coding RNA, 218 nt
Organism: Gopherus evgoodei (Goodes thornscrub tortoise)
Lineage: Eukaryota; Metazoa; Chordata; Testudines; Testudinidae
Exons: 3
Source: RefSeq, a predicted model, not a curated record